This 253-nucleotide ribosomal RNA is filed under the name uncultured bacterium. Its description in RNAcentral is "partial 16S ribosomal RNA". It matches the Rfam family "Bacterial small subunit ribosomal RNA", at positions 524 to 776 of the family's 1533-position model. The record is from RNAcentral.
UACGUAGGGUGCAAGCGUUAAUCGGAAUUACUGGGCGUAAAGCGUGCGCAGGCGGCUUUGCAAGACAGAUGUGAAAUCCCCGGGCUUAACCUGGGAACUGCAUUUGUGACUGCAUGGCUGGAGUGCGGCAGAGGGGGAUGGAAUUCCGCGUGUAGCAGUGAAAUGCGUAGAGAUCGGGAGGAACACCAGUGGCGAAGGCGGCUACCUGGACCAGCAUUGACACUCAAGCACGAAAGCGUGGGGAGCAAACAGG